GACGAUCGCUGGCGGCGUGCCUAACACAUGCAAGUCAACUUGACUGAAGGAGCAAUCUGACAGUAGAGUGGCGCAAGGGUGCGUAACGUGUAAGUAACUUGCCCCAAGGUAAGGAAUAACGUCGAGAAAUCGGCGCUAAUACCUCAUAAUGCAGCGGAUCCGCAUGGAUAUGUUGUUAAAGGUUUACCGCCUUGGGAUAGGCUUGCGUCUGAUUAGUUAGUUGGUGUGGUAACGGCACACCAAGGCUACGAUCAGUAACUGGUCUGAGAGGAUGAUCAGUCACACUGGAACUGAGACACGGUCCAGACUCCUACGGGAGGCAGCAGUGAGGAAUAUUGGGCAAUGCUCGAAAGAGUGACCCAGCAACGCCGCGUGGAGGAUGAAGGUAUUCUAUAUCGUAAACUCCUGCGAGAGCAGACGAAAGACAGAUUAUUAAUCUGGAUGACUGUAUGCUCAGAGGAAGCCCCGGCUAACUAC
Molecule: ribosomal RNA, 477 nt
Filed under: uncultured bacterium
Lineage: Bacteria
Description: bacterial SSU rRNA
Rfam family: Bacterial small subunit ribosomal RNA
Source: RNAcentral